This is a non-coding RNA of Platichthys flesus (European flounder), 1139 nucleotides long. The record is from the annotation of a RefSeq genome assembly. Lineage: Eukaryota; Metazoa; Chordata; Actinopteri; Pleuronectiformes; Pleuronectidae.
UGUAAAUCCAAACAGCAACGCUCCUGAGUUUGUGUCCCACGUCACCUUCAGUCCGCUCAGAGCAGAGGAAUCAUUUCCAUAGAGAGGAGGCUUUGCAUCGUCAGCUGAUCCUCCACUGAACUGAGAAGCUUUAUAGUCCUGUGACUCCAACUCUGCAGGACUCAGACCCGUCAGUCCACCACAACCACCAUGACUCUCAUCACCCUCCUCAUCUGGACGCUGGCCUGCUGCAGCUUCACAGGAUGCAGCGGCCAGAUGACUGUGACUCAGCCUCCAGUUAUGACAUUUACUCCAGGAUCCACUGUCACACUGAACUGUAACACCAACCCUAGUGUUCAUGGUGAUUAUACGUCCUGGUACCAGCAGAAACCUGGACAGAUUCCCAAGCUUCUUAUAUAUGAUGCAUCAACUCUAUAUUCAGGAACUCCCUCUCGAUUCAGUGGCAGUGGUUCUGGUUCUAGCUUCACCUUAACCAUCAGAGGUGUUCAGGCUGAAGAUGUUGGAGAUUAUUACUGUUUCGGUUAUCAUAGCAGUGGAGUGUACACUUUCGGUGGAGGAACCAAACUCAACAAUAACUUGGGUGUGGUGCGGCCCACCCUGACCCUCCUCCCCCCCUCCAGUGAAGAACUGAAGCAGGGCACUGCCACUCUGGUGUGUAUGGCCAGUGGGGGCUUCCCCUCAGCCUGGAGUCUGGGCUGGAAGGUGGGGGGCAGCAGCAGCUCCUCAGGGGUGUCUCACAGCCCGGGGGUCCUGGGGGGGGGCGGCCACUACAGCUGGAGCAGCACCUUGAGCCUCCCUGCAGACCAGUGGAGGAAGGCGGGCUCAGUGAGCUGUGAGGCCAGUCUGGACGGACAGAGCCCUGUCACUCAAACCCUGGACCCUGUCCUCUGCUCGGAGUAGAGAGAUGACAGCACUUCCUGUCUGACUUGAUGCUGAUUCUUUGAUGAGCUGCACAUUUCUUCUGCUGGGUUUUAGUGUCCAUGUUGCUUUUCAGUAUUGAUCAUCUGCAUAUUCUGCUUUAUCUAAGAAAGUGUUUUAAUUAAACUGACUUUUAUCAGUUUAAUUCUAAUUUUGAACAAACCUACUUAUUCAACAAAAUAUCAUAAUCAUCAUUGAAUAAAACUGUGUGUCACAAUAAA